Cinara cedri is the source of this 1024-nucleotide non-coding RNA. NCBI's taxonomy places the organism in Eukaryota, Metazoa, Arthropoda, Insecta, Hemiptera, Aphididae. The record is from the annotation of a GenBank genome assembly.
CCCAAAUUACGUGAAUGAAAUUAAUAAUAAUUAUCAUAAGAUAAUAUGAAUACACAGAUAUUUUUUUUUCUCCGCAAUUUCCACUUGGUGUUGUUGACAAACGCUAUCGCUAUUGUGCCAUAACAAAUGCUGUUUUGAUUUCAUGAACAGAUUAUCGUAUACAGACAACAAAACGUACUUUUUUUAAAAAAAAAAUUUAAUGCACAUAUUGUACAUUAAAUGGCCAUAAUUUUUUAAUUCCCGGAAAUAUUUCAAUUCAUACAUUUUUAAUUAGUCAACUAUGCAAAAAUAUGAUUUUAUAUGAAUAUUGAAUAUAUUCUCUUAACAUCAAAAUACUUAUAUGCAAAAUAAAAUGUUAAAUUCAGAUUAUUUGUACUGUGAAUCAUUGACAGAUAUUACUCCGUCGUAGAUUUGUAUACGUCCAUUAAAUGUUUUUAAAUAGAAAUCCGCGCUCUAAAUUACAAUUAAUUGUACAUUUAUAAUUAUUAAUAAUAUAAUUUAUUUGAUGAAUGUAUAACCAAAAUAAAAUAUAACAAUUUGUUAUUUAGCCCGUAAGAAGACAAGAUCAUGGGAGGGACGAUACAUUCCCCUCGUUCGACCACGCCUUUUAAGUGGAGUAGUGGUGUAGGUAAAUAAAGAAACGGAUAGGGAUCUGACGAUGUUGAAGGCGAGAAUAAACGAGUAGGUAUUUGAUGAGCUGAUCCCACUCGCGUGUAAAGUAAAAACUAAAGCAGAAGAAUCGUUAGAAUGUAUUGCAUGCAAUUAAAUAUUUAUUAAAAUAAGUCAACAUAACUUUUUUGUACAAUAUUUUUUGUCUGUACGUAUUAUUAUGCAAUUAUUACAUGGAUAAUUAAUAUAAUUAUUACUUACGUUGUUAUUAGAUAUGAAUAAUUACCGUUGUACGCAGCAAUAAACACAAUUAUAGGGCAAGGACGCAAAGUUCAUACAGUACUACACUGAUAUCGUGUUAUUCCAGUUUUUAUUAUUUGAACAAUUAUUACAUUAUAGUUUUAAUACUCACAUG